RNAcentral lists this long non-coding RNA (233 nucleotides) under Lathyrus oleraceus (garden pea). RNAcentral's name for it is "Pisum sativum (pea) long non-coding RNA (PSAT_LNC001708)". Lineage: Eukaryota; Viridiplantae; Streptophyta; Magnoliopsida; Fabales; Fabaceae. The record is from RNAcentral.
AAAAAGUGAAAUAAGGCAUGGUGAAACAUGAAGCACAUGAAAAUAAAUGGCAAGGCAAUAUGUGGAAAUGGCGCUCAAGCGGAAUCGAAGCAGGUUCCAGUUUAAAAUUCUAGCGCGCGCAAACACCACAUGACAUGAACAGUACGCGAAAUAUGGAUCAAACUCAUUUUCUGGAAAUUUUUCACAAGUUCUUCAUGUGUUCAUACAUUCAUAUGCUCAAGAACAAAUCUCCA